This 550-nucleotide ribosomal RNA is filed under the name Mini ature. RNAcentral describes it as "partial 16S ribosomal RNA". The stretch from base 1 to 393 matches the Rfam family "Bacterial large subunit ribosomal RNA", at positions 719 to 1300 of the family's 2925-position model. The record is from RNAcentral. Lineage: Eukaryota; Metazoa; Chordata; Amphibia; Anura; Microhylidae.
AACUAAGCGAGCUACUUUCAAACAACCUAUCAGGGCUAACCCAUCUCUGUAGCAAAAGAGUGGGAAGAUUUUUAAGUAGAGGCGACACACCUACCGAGCCUAGAGAUAGCUGGUUAUUCAGGAAAAGGAUCUUAGUCCUACUUUAAGCUUCUUCACUCACCAUAAAUACUAAACAAGCUUAAGAGCUAUUCAAACAAGGCACAGCCUGCUUGAAAAAGGAAACAGCCUACGACACAGGGUAAUGAUUAAUUUAUGUGACUAAGUAAGCCUAAAAGCAGCUACCUUCCAAAAAGCGUCUAAGCUUCCUCACUAAUCUUUAUAAUCCCACUACCUACACACAACCCCCAACCACUACUGAAUGACCCCAUACCAAUAUGGGGGACAUCCUGCUAGAACUAGUAACAAGAAGAAGACCUUCUCCAAAAUGUAAACGUAAGCCAAAAAUGAACAACUCACCGGCACUCAUCGCCACAAACCUAUAGUAUCAACUCACCUGCGAAAACCAUACUACACUUAGCGUCAACCUUACACUAGAACAUUACCGGAAAGA